Long non-coding RNA from Papilio xuthus (Asian swallowtail), 338 nucleotides. RefSeq lists it as uncharacterized. The record is from RefSeq and is a predicted model, not a curated record. Lineage: Eukaryota; Metazoa; Arthropoda; Insecta; Lepidoptera; Papilionidae. The transcript has 2 exons.
AGUGACAGGAAAAAUAAAUUAUUUGACAAUAUAAUGUCAAUCACUUUAUCUCGAUAUCUUAAGAUUUAUUUGAUGAAUAAUGGUUAUCAUUGAAUAAUAUUUAUUUCAGUAACAUGGCUUUUGGAUAGUGAGUUGGAAAGAGAGAUAUUAAUUUACAUAAUUUUAGGAGUUUGCUCGUAAUUUGCAUUCUAAUAUAUAGCAUACAUUUCUGUGUGCAGUAUAUACUACAGAUCACAGACACAGAGAAAAUAAACACGACAUCAAUGUUAGUAUACAAAUAUGAAAAUGAUGCAAAUCCAGAAAACAUGAUUCAAUAUGAUUAAAAAUCAUUAAAUAAU